RNAcentral lists this ribosomal RNA (467 nucleotides) under uncultured bacterium. RNAcentral describes it as "partial 16S ribosomal RNA". It matches the Rfam family "Bacterial small subunit ribosomal RNA", at positions 28 to 507 of the family's 1533-position model. The record is from RNAcentral.
GACGAACGCUGGCGGCGUGCUUAACACAUGCAAGUCGAACGAUGACGACCGAGCUUGCUCGGUCUGAUUAGUGGCGAACGGGUGAGUAACACGUGAGCAACCUGCCCUUCACUCUGGGAUAACCUCGGGAAAUCGGGGCUAAUACCGGAUAUGAGCUCCUGUCGCAUGGCGGGUUUUGGAAAUUUUUUCGGUGAAGGAUGGGCUCGCGGCCUAUCAGUUUGUUGGUGAGGUAGUGGCUCACCAAGGCGAUGACGGGUAGCCGGCCUGAGAGGGCGACCGGCCACACUGGGACUGAGACACGGCCCAGACUCCUACGGGAGGCAGCAGUGGGGAAUAUUGCACAAUGGGCGACAGCCUGAUGCAGCGACGCCGCGUGAGGGAUGACGGCCUUCGGGUUGUAACCCUCUUUCAGCAGGGAAGAAGCGAAAGUGACGGUACCUGCAGAAGAAGCGCCGGCUAACUACGUG